RNAcentral lists this ribosomal RNA (460 nucleotides) under uncultured bacterium. RNAcentral describes it as "partial 16S ribosomal RNA". It matches the Rfam family "Bacterial small subunit ribosomal RNA", at positions 338 to 795 of the family's 1533-position model. The record is from RNAcentral.
CCUACGGGUGGCAGCAGUGAGGAAUAUUGGUCAAUGGACGCAAGCCUGAACCAGCCAUGCCGCGUGCAGGAAGACGGCUCUAUGAGUUGUAAACUGCUUUUGUACGAGGGUAAACUCAGAUAUGCGUAUCUGUCUGCAAGUAUCUUACGAAUAAGGAUCGGCUAACUCCGUGCCAGCAGCCGCGGUAAUACGGAGGAUUCAAGCGUUAUCCGGAUUUAUUGGGGUUAAAGGGUGCGUAGGCGGUCGGAUAAGUUAGAUGUGAAAUCCCGCGGCUCAACCUCGGAAUUGCCUCUGAUACUGUCAGGCUUGAGGGUAGUAGAGGUAGGCGGAAUGCAUGGUGUAGCGGUGAAAUGCUUAGAGAUCACGCAGAACACCGAUUGCGAAGGCAGCUUACCAGGCUACUUCUGACGUUGAGGCACGAAAGCGUGGGGAGCAAACAGGAUUAGAUACCCUGGUAGUC